CACGGAUUUGCUUUGCAAUAAUCUUCCACAACCACCUCUGAAGAUGCUCUCUGCUACACAAGUAUUCGCAGCCGUAGCCUUACUGGGCAUGCUCGCUUAUGCUGCUGCGGACCCAAAUGUUUUUGAUGAUAUCGAAACUGGAUUGAACCACAUUAUAGGACACGAUAAAAGUCACAACUAAAAGAGGAAAUUCUUGCCAGAAAAUGCAGAGAUUGUAUGAGGAUAUGAAGAAAUAAUAAAAUGUUUUGAUUAAAUAA
Long non-coding RNA from Argiope bruennichi, 257 nucleotides. RefSeq lists it as uncharacterized. The transcript is spliced from 3 exons. Lineage: Eukaryota; Metazoa; Arthropoda; Arachnida; Araneae; Araneidae. The record is from RefSeq and is a predicted model, not a curated record.